Small nuclear RNA from Meleagris gallopavo (turkey), 115 nucleotides. Its record names the gene U5. It matches the Rfam family "U5 spliceosomal RNA". Rfam says of the family: U5 RNA is a component of both types of known spliceosome. NCBI's taxonomy places the organism in Eukaryota, Metazoa, Chordata, Aves, Galliformes, Phasianidae. The record is from Ensembl.
AUACUCUGGUUUCUCUUCAGAUCGUAUAAAUCUUUCGCCUUUUACUAAAGAUUUCCGUGGAGAGGAACAAGCACGAGUGUCGUGAAAUUUUUUGAGGCUCCGUUUCGGCGGAGCU